AAUCCAUGCAUCGGGCAUUUCUGAAGUAAUUCUUUAAAUCGUUCCCAAGUUUCGUAUAGCAUUUCAUCCUCUGAUUACCAAAAGGAUGUGAUGUUAUUUCUAAGUUU
This is a non-coding RNA of Gossypium raimondii (Peruvian cotton), 107 nucleotides long. Lineage: Eukaryota; Viridiplantae; Streptophyta; Magnoliopsida; Malvales; Malvaceae. The record is from Rfam.